CUGAAAAAUCAGACCACAGGCACUUUGGAUAAUUUUGACAGGAAUCUCUCUGCCUCAGCCCCCCAAUAUGUGAAAUGGGAAUAAUACCCCCUUUUCUCUAAGGGUGUUGUGAAGAUAGAUAGAUUAAUGGUUGUGAAGCACUCAAAUACUAUAGUGAUAGAAAACCCACAAAGAAAUUAAAUCUGUAUUUGGUGCAGGGCUUGGAUGGCGUGCAGUAUAAAUAAGGAUGGACGUCACAGACUGCUCAAUGAGGAUAAAACAAAAUACUGAGUAGCUGCUUAUUCAGCAAGCAACAUCCAUCCUGUGCUCUAAAUGAGGCAGGGAUCCUGCAGGGGGAAAAAAUAGUAUGUCAUCAUAUAAUUAAAGAUUGUAUCAUUGUGCACGUUCACAAGGGUGCCAAAUUAACAUUUCACAGGUGACCUUAAUUCUGCUGUUUCCUAAUCUGAGUGCUGUACUUGACUUUGUUUAUAAAGAUUUUUUAAUAUAGCAUUGUUUAUAUAAUUUGAUAUAAACCACAAUAGAUUUUAUGUGAAUAGUAGGUCAGUGUUUACAUCGAGUUUAGUAUCCUCCAGUUAUUUCUAAUUUAUGCUCCCAGUACUAUCAAAAAUGUGGUAGGAAAACUGAAUGCUAUAAUCUGGUUAGACAUAUAACAUGUACUGUAUAUAACUUGAAUACCUACAUGAUAUUUUGUAUUUACACUAUAUUGCACCUUUCAUCCAACAAUCUUAAAGUGUUUUAUAGAGGCAGGACAUGAUCUACAAGAAGCAGAUUAGGAGAUUUCUGUGGGACUAAAAAGAGACCAUGAUUAAGUGGAAAACAAGACUGAAAAGUAAAGAGAUGUUUUAAAAAACAGUAAGAUGUUCUGUAUUCAGAAUCAUGGCAUCAUAUCGGAGAUUAAAAUCCUUCUCAGAGACUACUUCAAUGCCAGUAUUCUAGGAGAAAGCAAAGCAGUUUUUGAAGGCUAUCCUUGGAGAUACUAGAUUACCUUUUCAGACCAAGCCAUUAACGCUGUCUUCCUAUCUAUGGUCCACUUGAAAUUCCCAAUCUCUCUUCUUCUUGACAGCCCCUGAGACAACAUAAGGUACAAACUCUAUCCUUAGAUGUACUCACACAAAUAUCAUUUAAGCCAAUGACGGAUGUAUACCUGUAUCCAAAGGGAGAAUUUGGCCAUAUGCUUUGGAAACAUGGCUCUAUUGUGUGAUCUUCUCUGAUGCACUGGAUUUUGAUAGGAGCAGCCCACGAUAACCAGUUAAUUGAUACUAGAAACAGUUUUGCACUUUGCUCUGUUGCAAAGUGCAGUAAUGUUAGAACAUACAGAUUUAUAGUCAGGGUUAACUAUGUAUUUUCUUCAAUAUUUGUCCAACUAAAGAGAUGCUCACUUUGUGGGUAAAUACAGCUGGUAGUGUAAACUAAAGAUUUGCAUUUCCUGGUGAUAUUAUUAUAAAUUAUUUCUUACCUAAGCACGCAUGACACAUCAAAAGGUGUAGCAUUUAUUUUGUUGGUUUCAAACUUUUGUUUAAUGGAAAGUGCAAACUUAGUAUUCGUAUUUAUUUAACUUAUUUCAGUAGGAGAUGUUAAAGUAUUUAUUUUCUGAAUGUAUAUUCCAUUUACCUUAAGUAAAUCCAUAUUGGCCAUACUGUAAUAGUGUAUCAGUCCAUUGAACCUUGACUGUACAGAUCUAAUUUAUAUAAGUUGUAUAUUUGUGUAUAUUUCCUCUCUGUAUUGUUACACUAGAUGAUUAGAAAAUAAGCUGUUCUGUCCUUACUACAGUAAGAAUUCUGGAAAAAUCAGUUCUGUCUUGAUUGGUGGGUCUGAAUAAUCAGCUCAGUUCUUGAGACCUUAGUUUGUUUUGACUUGUGUACUCUUAAUCAGAAGAUAAAGUUUUUGUAUUAAAUGUAA
Molecule: long non-coding RNA, 1899 nt
Organism: Terrapene triunguis (Three-toed box turtle)
Lineage: Eukaryota; Metazoa; Chordata; Testudines; Emydidae
Exons: 2
Source: RefSeq, a predicted model, not a curated record